This 488-nucleotide ribosomal RNA is filed under the name Vibrio kanaloae. RNAcentral's name for it is "bacterial SSU rRNA". It matches the Rfam family "Bacterial small subunit ribosomal RNA", at positions 30 to 495 of the family's 1533-position model. The record is from RNAcentral. Lineage: Bacteria; Pseudomonadati; Pseudomonadota; Gammaproteobacteria; Vibrionales; Vibrionaceae.
AUUGAACGCUGGCGGCAGGCCUAACACAUGCAAGUCGAGCGGAAACGACACUAACAAUCCUUCGGGUGCGUUAAUGGGCGUCGAGCGGCGGACGGGUGAGUAAUGCCUAGGAAAUUGCCUUGAUGUGGGGGAUAACCAUUGGAAACGAUGGCUAAUACCGCAURAUGCCUACGGGCCAAAGAGGGGGACCUUCGGGCCUCUCGCGUCAAGAUAUGCCUAGGUGGGAUUAGCUAGUUGGUGAGGUAAUGGCUCACCAAGGCGACGAUCCCUAGCUGGUCUGAGAGGAUGAUCAGCCACACUGGAACUGAGACACGGUCCAGACUCCUACGGGAGGCAGCAGUGGGGAAUAUUGCACAAUGGGCGCAAGCCUGAUGCAGCCAUGCCGCGUGUAUGAAGAAGGCCUUCGGGUUGUAAAGUACUUUCAGUUGUGAGGAAGGGGGUGUUGUUAAUAGCRVCAUCUCUUGACGUUAGCAACAGAAGAAGCACCG